AAAAUAAAAUAAAAUAAAAUUACAUCUUCACAGAUAAACAAGAAGCAAAUCAAAAGGUAGCUGGAAACUCGAAACAAGAAACUAAAACACACUUUUUGGGUUGUGCAUAAUGAGCUUCCAAAGGCUAAGCUGGGGUGCAAGAAAUGUCAAACAAAAGAGGCAUUACUAACAGCUUUAUGGAUUUUUAACAAAUUAAAAUUGAUUGAAUUACAACUUAGUGACAUACCAAACACCACCUCUAUCACUUUGAUGGAAAGAAGUUGUCUGCCUCAUGCAUGGUUUACUUCUUGGUGAGCUAGGGAGGCUGAGAUAAUGCUUGAAGCUUCUGGAACAUUAAUGAUAUGGUUUAAAAUUGUCUAAUUUUCACAUAUGAUUUUUUAUGCUCUCAUGCCUCCUUUUCUAUGACAAUAAGAAAUCUACAAUUUGUAACAUCUAAAAGUUUGUAUCUAUGUCCUUUUUCCUUAAACAAUCCUUAGAUGACCUGGCAGACAAUGAAACAUGUUCAAUUAUCACUAACAGGUGUUGGAGGCAACAAUGAUACAUGUUCUAACAGACACAAGUGGAUGUGAUUGCGAAUCACAUAUAUGAUUGUAUUCAUAAAUGUUAGACAGGUCACUGUUUGUGGCUUUUUUUUAACUAAAAAAGUUAUUUUCGAGCAUGCUCACUGAAGUCUGUUAUUUGCAGUGAAUGCUUGCUGAAAUAGAAAGUUGAAGGCAAGAUUGGAAAAAUGAUUGAUCCAAAAUAUGCUGGUGAGAUCAUUAUCCUGAAGUUGUUAAAUCUUAGUUUGUUUUUGGACUUUAGAUUGUCUUGUCCAUACUUAUGUGACAAGUUGUGCUCAUUAUUUCUUUUCUAGUGUGUUUUCAGUGUGGGGUUAAAAACAGUGAUUUAUCUUAUACGAAGGCUGCUCAGUUGAAUGAUGACUCGUUUCAGGGAUCAG
Molecule: unclassified non-coding RNA, 937 nt
Filed under: Hevea brasiliensis (rubber tree)
Lineage: Eukaryota; Viridiplantae; Streptophyta; Magnoliopsida; Malpighiales; Euphorbiaceae
Source: RNAcentral